GGGGGGGGGGUGGACAUGCCGACCUUCUCUGCUCAACAGUGCACUUUUCUAUUUGGUGCUGCAGACAAAUAGGUUAUGGGAAACUUCUCAACCCCUCCUCUCUCUCUCCCCCUCUCACUGGCUCUCGCUUAUACGGUAGCUGUCGUUCUCGUGCGCUUGGACUGUGCUCUUGUGAGAAUCAGAGCCGCUGAGGCACGCGUAAUCAACUGCGUAUUAGCGGCAAUUUUAAACCGAAAGCAGCCUGUGCACGCCGGCUUCAUACCUACAGCAGGAGAUGCAUCUGGUCACGUCGACUUCGGCAUAAUUAUAAAAAACCUUUGCUCAAAUAAUAUGUGAAAAUGCUUAGACUAGCUUCAUGUGAGCAUGUGAGUCAAAUGUCUUAUUCGCUCUUAUUGAUUUUAGCAGUGCUCUGAGAUUGUUAUUUGUAUUUGGUUAUGCUCUAUAAGGCCUGAAUGAGGUAGAUGUUUUCCAACUUAAAGCUGUUAUUUGUCUUAAUAGAUAUGAACUGUUGCUGACAUUAUUCACCUAAACCAAUUCAGUCAGAACGCCAUCAGCGUUAAUGAUAGCUGUCUUUUAAUCUAGAUGUAGCCAAAAUUAGAGACCUAUAAGCCAAGAGAUCCAUUAUUUGUGUAUGUUACUGUACAGGCCUGGAGAACAUCUUGUGUGCUUACAUCUGUGAUGUUUCAGAUAGUUAAUGACAGAGUGGAAAUGAAUUGAAGACACAUUGUAUAAGAUAAGUGAUAUAAAUAAUUUUAUUGAAAAUGUUUUUCAACUUUACAAUCACACGCAUACACACAGACAGACAGAGAGAGAGACAGAGAGAGAGAGAGAGAGAGAGAGAGAGAGAGAGUUGUGCUGUGAGUCCCACAUUCUGAAACCCACACAGAUGCUGGAAAGUCAGCAUCACGUUUUGAUUGAUAGGUUUGUCACUUACUGCACUCAAUUACAGUUCUCACGAAACAGAAAGUAGGCAUGAGUAGCCUAUGUAAUCAAUUUAAAAAUAAGAUUCUGAUAUCAGUGGUCCGAAUAUGAGGGUAUCCACAUAUAUUAGCAAUGGAAACCACCUUACUCUGUCUAGAGAGCAGCUGCUAUACAUACCUUUGCGUGUUGACUGUCAUUGCCAGAGGGAACAAUCGCAAGAUUCCUCUUAUCGCCGGCGAGCAUUUCCAUGUGUUCAGUCGCACUAGAAUCGAAAAUCCUUGUGAGCGAGGGCGAUUGGCGUUGCCUUUCAAAUAUUUCCAUCAAGCAUGCUCGUCGUUGAAAAUACGUUUUGCGUUUAGCAAAAGUGCGUAAGGAUCGCCGCUUCAACCUGCACUCUAGAGAUUUCUAAUGACAUCAUCAUUAUCAUCAUCACCACCACCAUCAUCAUCGCCUUGCACUCGCGUGGUCCAAGACCUUUGACCUUUUCUGGCUGGUCCAUAUUUUGGUACUGGAAGCCCGUCCCCCCGCUUACCCCCUCCGCCCCCCCACUCCUCGAGAUGUGGCCCUGUUCCCUCUCUCAGACCGCUGGCAGCAGCAACACAAUCCUCCUCUCGUCUCUCUCAUAGCAGCUCUCAGGGAUCUGUGGCAUACCGAUCUCCUCCGUGCACGGACAACCUGCCACCACUCGGCCAAAAAUAAGAGAGAGAUCUCUUUAUUCAGUGCCGAAACAAACGCGAUGUUAUUUCCGUGUGCACUUUUUUCCUCUGGAAUCGGAUUUUUCCUUUGUAUAAUCUCGCUGUUGGUUCCGUGGGAUAUCCAUCGCUCCUGCCACGAUUUAAUAGAGCCAAAGGAGCCUUUUGUGAGAUCGGGAGGGCUGAAAAAAAUGUCACCAUUACUUACCCACUGGAAGAGAGCAGGAGAAAACUGGCAUCAGUGUUAUCAAAUGAUAAACCAACAUGAGUGAUGCUUCCGAUGAGGUGCGUUGCUCUUUGAUGUGAAAAAGGAAGGUUGCGAGAGCUCUCUCCAGCACAUGCCACCCUCAUUAGUGUCCAGCAGCUGAAGACGCGAGGUCACAAACCCAAUGAGUUGCACAUUUCAUUCAGCUUUGCCGACAUGGAAAGAUGACCACUGUGACCUAAUGUUCGGUGCGGUCUGACAGCACAUUGUGUGCAUCAUACGAAGUGGCUUGAAUAACCCUUGAACCUUGUGUGGAGUGCAUUAUUUUUUAUGAAAUUGCCAACUUUUCAACAUUCUUGUAGAUUUUAUUCAUUCAAUAAAUUGUGCAUUUUUCUAAAAAAGGGAA
Long non-coding RNA from Cyprinus carpio carpio, 2224 nucleotides. Lineage: Eukaryota; Metazoa; Chordata; Actinopteri; Cypriniformes; Cyprinidae. The record is from Ensembl.